GAUGAACGCUGGCGGCGUGCCUAAUACAUGCAAGUCGAGCGAACGGACGAGAAGCUUGCUUCUCUGAUGUUAGCGGCGGACGGGUGAGUAACACGUGGAUAACCUACCUAUAAGACUGGGAUAACUUCGGGAAACCGGAGCUAAUACCGGAUGAUAUUUUGAACCGCAUGGUUCAAAAGUGAAAGACGGUCUUGCUGUCACUUAUAGAUGGAUCCGCGCUGCAUUAGCUAGUUGGUAAGGUAACGGCUUACCAAGGCAACGAUGCAUAGCCGACCUGAGAGGGUGAUCGGCCACACUGGAACUGAGACACGGUCCAGACUCCUACGGGAGGCAGCAGUAGGGAAUAUUCGGCAAUGGGCGAAAGCCUGACGGAGCAACGCCGCGUGAGUGAUGAAGGUCUUCGGAUCGUAAAACUCUGUUAUUAGGGAAGAAAAGAUGUGUAAGUAACUGUGCACAUCUUGACGGUACCUAAUCAGAAAGCAACGGCUAACUUCGUG
Molecule: ribosomal RNA, 497 nt
Filed under: uncultured bacterium
Lineage: Bacteria
Description: partial 16S ribosomal RNA
Rfam family: Bacterial small subunit ribosomal RNA
Source: RNAcentral